RNAcentral lists this ribosomal RNA (392 nucleotides) under uncultured bacterium. RNAcentral describes it as "bacterial SSU rRNA". It matches the Rfam family "Bacterial small subunit ribosomal RNA", at positions 29 to 408 of the family's 1533-position model. The record is from RNAcentral.
AACGAACGCUGGCGGCGUGCUUAACACAUGCAAGUCGAACGCGAAAGGGACUUCGGUCCUGAGUAAAGUGGCGCACGGGUGAGUAACGCGUGGAUAAUCUACCCGAUGGACCGGGAUAACAUUUCGAAAGGGGUGCUAAUACCGGAUAAGACCACGGGCUCUUCGGGGCUAGUGGUAAAAGGUGGGGACCUUCGGGCCUACCGUUAUCGGAUGAGUCCGCGUACCAUUAGCUAGUUGGUGGGUAAAGGCCUACCAAGGCGACGAUGGUUAGCUGGUCUGAGAGGAUGAUCAGCCACACUGGAACUGAGACACGGUCCAGACUCCUACGGGAGGCAGCAGUGGGAAUUUUGCGCAAGUGGGGAAACCCUGACGCAGCAACGCCGCGUGAGUGA